UGGGGAAUCUUGCGCAAUGGGCGAAAGCCUGACGCAGCAACGCCGCGUGGGGGAUGAAGGCCUUCGGGUUGUAAACCCCUUUCAGUCAGGGCAGCGAACAUGACGGUACCUGCAGAAGAAGCCCCGGCCAACUACGUGCCAGCAGCCGCGGUAACACGUAGGGGGCGAGCGUUGUCCGGAUUUAUUGGGCGUAAAGAGCUCGUAGGCGGUUCGGUAAGUCGGGUGUGAAACCUCCAGGCUCAACCUGGAGACGCCACCUGAUACUGCCGUGACUAGAGUCCGGUAGGGGAGCGUGGAAUUCCUGGUGUAGCGGUGAAAUGCGCAGAUAUCAGGAGGAACACCAGCGGCGAAGGCGGCGCUCUGGGCCGGAACUGACGCUGAGGAGCGAGAGCGUGGGUAGCAAAACA
RNAcentral lists this ribosomal RNA (407 nucleotides) under uncultured Acidimicrobiales bacterium. RNAcentral's name for it is "bacterial SSU rRNA". It matches the Rfam family "Bacterial small subunit ribosomal RNA", at positions 355 to 775 of the family's 1533-position model. The record is from RNAcentral. Lineage: Bacteria; Bacillati; Actinomycetota; Acidimicrobiia; Acidimicrobiales.